Molecule: transfer RNA, 77 nt
Filed under: Candidatus Peregrinibacteria bacterium
Lineage: Bacteria; Candidatus Peregrinibacteriota
Description: tRNA-Lys
Rfam family: tRNA
About the family: Transfer RNA (tRNA) molecules are approximately 80 nucleotides in length. Their secondary structure includes four short double-helical elements and three loops (D, anti-codon, and T loops).
Source: RNAcentral
GGGUCCAUAGCUCAGUCAGGUAGAGCAGCUGCCUUUUAAGCAGAUGGUCACAGGUUCGAUCCCUGUUGGACCCACCA